AUAAGGAAAAACGGAAAAGGUACGUAUAGAAUAUCUAUAUGUUUAAUAGGGAAUGUAGUGAGAGUCUACAACAGCCCAACUUUACUGUGACCGUCGUAUCUCUGUUUUAUAUGUCAUGUACAUAACCACUGGAGGCAUCUGGGAAGGUGAAAAGAGAAUUUCUAAAUUGAGUGUUUUUAUAGAAACUUCGGAAGUCAGGAGACCUGCCUUAAUCUGUGUGCAUGA
Molecule: non-coding RNA, 225 nt
Filed under: Bacillota bacterium
Lineage: Bacteria; Bacillati; Bacillota
Source: RNAcentral